GAUGAACGCUGGCGGCGUGCCUAAUACAUGCAAGUCGAGCGAACGGACGAGAAGCUUGCUUCUCUGAUGUUAGCGGCGGACGGGUGAGUAACACGUGGAUAACCUACCUAUAAGACUGGGAUAACUUCGGGAAACCGGAGCUAAUACCGGAUAAUAUUUUGAACCGCAUGGUUCAAAAGUGAAAGACGGUCUUGCCGUCACUUAUAGAUGGAUCCGCGUUGCAUUAGCUAGUUGGUAAGGUAACGGCUUACCAAGGCAACGAUGCAUAGCCGACCUGAGAGUGUGAUCGGCCACACUGGAACUGAGACACGGUCCAGACUCCUACGGGAGGCAGCAGUAUGGAAUCUUCCGCAAAGGGCGAAAGCCUGACGGAGCAACGCCGCGUGAGUGAUGAAGGUCUCCGGAUCGUAAAACUCUGUUAUUAGGUAAGAACAUAUGUGUAAGUAACUGUGCACAUGUUGACGGUACCUAAUCAGAAAGCAACGGCUAACUACGUG
This 497-nucleotide ribosomal RNA is filed under the name uncultured bacterium. RNAcentral describes it as "partial 16S ribosomal RNA". It matches the Rfam family "Bacterial small subunit ribosomal RNA", at positions 28 to 507 of the family's 1533-position model. The record is from RNAcentral.